RNAcentral lists this transfer RNA (72 nucleotides) under Camelus bactrianus (Bactrian camel). It matches the Rfam family "tRNA". Rfam says of the family: Transfer RNA (tRNA) molecules are approximately 80 nucleotides in length. RNAcentral also lists the same sequence under 3 other names. The record is from Rfam by way of RNAcentral. Lineage: Eukaryota; Metazoa; Chordata; Mammalia; Artiodactyla; Camelidae.
GAAGGUAUAGCUUGGUGGUAGAGUGCAUGCUUAGCAUGCAUGAGGUCCUGCAUUCAAUCUCCUGUACCUCCA